AACCUUCCUUUAACUGGAGAAUAGCCCCUCGAAAGAGGGAUUAAUACUCCGUAACAUAUUGAUAAGGCAUCUUAUUAAUAUUAUAGUCUUCGGGCGGUUAAAGAUGGGCGUGCGCCUGAUAGAUAGUUGGUGAGGUAACGGCUCACCAAGUCUGCGAUCAGUAACUGGUGUGAGAGCACGACCAGUCACACGGGCACUGAGACACGGGCCCGACUCCUACGGGAGGCAGCAGUAAGGAAUAUUGGUCAAUGGACGCAAGUCUGAACCAGCCAUGCCGCGUGGAG
This 284-nucleotide ribosomal RNA is filed under the name uncultured bacterium. Its description in RNAcentral is "partial 16S ribosomal RNA". It matches the Rfam family "Bacterial small subunit ribosomal RNA", at positions 123 to 406 of the family's 1533-position model. The record is from RNAcentral.